Molecule: small nuclear RNA, 109 nt
Organism: Myotis lucifugus (little brown bat)
Lineage: Eukaryota; Metazoa; Chordata; Mammalia; Chiroptera; Vespertilionidae
Source: Ensembl
GUUCUCGCUUCGGCAGCACAUACACUAAAACUGGAAUGAUACAGAGAAGAUUAGCAUGGCCCCCCUGCGCAAGGAUGACACGCAAAUUCGUGAAGCAUUCCAUAUUUUA